Molecule: ribosomal RNA, 402 nt
Filed under: uncultured prokaryote
Description: bacterial SSU rRNA
Rfam family: Bacterial small subunit ribosomal RNA
Source: RNAcentral
UAGGGAAUAUUAGUAAUGGGCGAAAGCCUGAACUAGCAACACCGCGUGUGCGAAGAAGGCCUUCGGGUUGUAAAGCACUUUUUGAGAGGAUGAGGGAGGACGGUACUCUCAGAAUAAGUCUCGGCUAACUACGUGCCAGCAGCCGCGGUAACACGUAGGAGGCAAACGUUAUCCGGAUUUACUGGGCGUAAAGCGCGUGUAGGUGGUUUGGUAAGUAGGGCGUGAAAGCUCCUGGCUCAACUGGGAGAGGCCGUUCUAAACUACAGAACUAGAGGAUGGUAGAGGGAGGUGGAAUUCCGGGUGUAGCGGUGGAAUGCGCAGAUAUCCGGAGGAACACCAGUGGCGAAGGCGGCCUUCUGGACCAUUCCUGACACUCAGACGCGAAAGCUAGGGUAGCAAACG